GCCUACGGGAGGCAGCAGUGGGGAAUAUUGCACAAUGGGGGGAACCCUGAUGCAGCGACGCCGCGUGAGUGAAGAAGUAUUUCGGUAUGUAAAGCUCUAUCAGCAGGGAAGAAGAUGACGGUACCUGACUAAGAAGCCCCGGCUAACUACGUGCCAGCAGCCGCGGUAAUACGUAGGGGGCAAGCGUUAUCCGGAUUUACUGGGUGUAAAGGGAGCGUAGACGGCAGCGCAAGUCUGGAGUGAAAUGCCGGGGCUCAACCCCGGAACUGCUUUGGAAACUGUGCGGCUCGAGUGCGGGAGGGGUA
Molecule: ribosomal RNA, 305 nt
Filed under: uncultured bacterium
Lineage: Bacteria
Description: bacterial SSU rRNA
Rfam family: Bacterial small subunit ribosomal RNA
Source: RNAcentral